Molecule: ribosomal RNA, 371 nt
Filed under: uncultured bacterium
Lineage: Bacteria
Description: bacterial SSU rRNA
Rfam family: Bacterial small subunit ribosomal RNA
Source: RNAcentral
UAAUACGGAGGAUCCAAGCGUUAUCCGGAAUCAUUGGGUUUAAAGGGUCCGUAGGCGGUUUAAUAAGUCAGUGGUGAAAGCCCAUCGCUCAACGGUGGAACGGCCAUUGAUACUGUUAAACUUGAAUUAUUAGGAAGUAACUAGAAUAUGUAGUGUAGCGGUGAAAUGCUUAGAGAUUACAUGGAAUACCAAUUGCGAAGGCAGGUUACUACUAAUGGAUUGACGCUGAUGGACGAAAGCGUGGGUAGCGAACAGGAUUAGAUACCCUGGUAGUCCACGCCGUAAACGAUGGAUACUAGCUGUUGGAAGCAAUUUCAGUGGCUAAGCGAAAGUGAUAAGUAUCCCACCUGGGGAGUACGUUCGCAAGAAUG